Molecule: long non-coding RNA, 2572 nt
Organism: Mesocricetus auratus (golden hamster)
Lineage: Eukaryota; Metazoa; Chordata; Mammalia; Rodentia; Cricetidae
Exons: 2
Source: RefSeq, a predicted model, not a curated record
GAAGCAUUUUUUAUGUGCUACCAGCUACCUGGAGGCCUUGGGCUGCUUGUCUUCUGGGCAGAGCUUCCACACAAACAGUAGGUACCGGCCAUUCUUCUUGUCCCUGGAGCAAGGGAGAAGAGUCCAUUCCCAGUCUGGGCUGCUGUGGCAGAUGGUUUCCCCAUCCUGUCACCUCGGAAACUCCAAUACUGUCUUACAGGCAGGUAUUUACUUUUUGUUAAAAAAAAAAGCAUGCCACAUGACAGCAAUCUCCGGUUUCAACGUUGACAAGAGAGAAUGAUGCUAUUUCUAAAAAGAAAGUGAAUAGAAAUUAGCCUGGCCCAUUUGCUAAAGCGCUUAAAUAUAAUCCCAUGGUCUUGAUUUUAUUCUAUUUUACAAACAAUUGAGAUUCAGCUAUCGAUGGCUGUUUAUUGGACUAUUAUUAGCUGAGUUUUUAUUAAUUAAUUGUUAGUGUGACAGAUUUCUAGAUCUUUUUGCUUCUUUCUUCUGUUUGUUUUCUCUAUUCUUUUCAGACAGGGUCCCAAGAGCUUCUGCUCGCCUGACACAGUUGGGUUUGAGCUCCUCCUGUCCCCAUCCUGAGUGCUGAGAUAGCAGGCAUGCACUGGCAUGCCCAAUUUCAAAUUGUGUUUUUUAAUUUGAAAUUUGAAAAAGAAAAUGAGAAACCUCUGAUAAACUCACAUGUGGCUAACAGCAUGGACCUGUAUUUCCGUAAGCCUCGUCCCCUCAGAGUUCAGCUAACCUGGAUCUAUUUAGUGACGACAAAUUGACUUAUAUAAACCUUUUCCUUUUUUUUUUUUUGUUUUUGUUUUUCGAGACAGGGUUUCUCUGUAUUGUUUUGGUGGCUGUCCUAGAACUCUCUCCAUAGACCAGGCUGGCCUCUGCCUCCCGAGUGCUGGGAUUAAAGGAGUGCGCCAUCAGCGCCUGGCAACCUUUUCCAAUAAAUUUCUGUCCUUUAAAUGUGAACUGGUUUUCACGUUAAUCCUCCUGGACUCCUAGUCCCACCUAUCUAGAUUCCUAUUGGCCAGACAGUGCUUUAUUAACAUAAGACUUCCCCAACACCAGCCUUGUUAUGAGGAUUGUACAUGCUGUGAAGACUCCAUAUUGGACCCAUUCCUGGAUAAGAGCAGAGUUGUCACCCGAUGAAACCAAGGGAAGUGGCCAGCUCACCCCGCUUAACUCCUUAACUGUGUAAUGACAAAAAUUUCAGGAUACAAAUGUAAACGUAUGAAGAGAAUGCUUCAUAUAAAACGUGAAUAAAAUAAUAAGAGCAGGGAAAAUAACGGAAGAACCGGAUUCUUCAUACAUCUGUAUGUUCAUUCCAUCUCCUACCCAGUGCAGGGAUAUUUCAACUAUGGUUUCCAGCCCCAUGUUGCUGAGGGUUUCUCUGUGUUAAACUCACCUACAUCUGCACAGAUCCGUGCGUGACUGACCUCCUGGGUUACUGUGAGGAUGGGGUAGAUGAAAAUGAAACUGACCAAGCGUGUCGAUUACUGGGUGAUGACGACACUGCUGUUGGGUACUGGGGUUUCCCCUGGUGGCCGCUGUGGUUUGGCAAGGGCCUGCUUCUGUACUCUCUGUCAUUGCCGCGUUGACCUUGAUGGGAGCAGUGUCUGUCAGGGUGCUGGAGGAAGACACCAAGCACUCCUCGGCAAAGGCACUAACCUGCACUGACUGGAAGACGAUGAUGCAGCAGGGCACCUGCAAGUCUUUGAGUUGAAGUCCAUACAACUACUACUGCCAAGCCUUUAAAGCUCAGAGGUGGCUCCUGUAGCUCACACGGUGUUUACAUCAGUCUCACGGCUGAAACUCCUUGGUUUGAUCCAACAUGUGUCUGAAGAAUGUUAUAUGGUGCCUGACUCCUCUGGUAGCGUGAAGCCCUGGCUCUUGUGUCUUAUCUACGGUCGGCUUGUCUACUUUGUGCCUUCAUCAUCCAUUGAACUGACUCCUUUUGCUGAGUUGAAUGGAAAAGGUCUUCCCACACAUCAAGCAAUUCCAUUUCUCUUCACAAGUAGAAAGUGUUUGCAACUAUCCUUAUUGUAUUCAGAGUGGGUUUUCUUGGAUUCAUGCCCAGAAAGUUUAUUUUGGUGUAGAGUAGGCUGAUUUUCUAAUUUUCUGUACAUCUCUUCAUAGCAUUUACCAAACUGUUUACUGGAGACUUCAGCUAGGUUAGGGUCUGUGUAAAUGCGGCAAAGCCUGAAAAUACUCGUCAUCUAAAAUUCUUUAACACAUUUGUUACUUACUUCUAGAGAAGUGAUUUCCAUACCACCUGAAACUGUCCUGGGAAUAGUGUUUUGAAUUCUCAAAACCACGGACUCUUCUGGCAAAUUCUGUUGUUUAUUUUUGUAGUUUAGAGCCUUUACAUUGUGACUUCAUUUUAUCAUCAUAGUAUGAUAGUUUGGAGCCUUGAUAGCACUCUAAUUACAUGUCUAUUUCCUUUUUGCCAAAGUAGUACUUACCAUGCCAGCCUCCCCGCUAUGGAAUGUGGGUGACGGGCUGAAAUUGGCAUUGUGGUAGGCAAUACAAUAUUUUAAGGGCUAAUAAUACGGAUAUUAAAAUAUUUUCCCAAGUUAAA